RNAcentral lists this ribosomal RNA (253 nucleotides) under uncultured bacterium. RNAcentral's name for it is "partial 16S ribosomal RNA". It matches the Rfam family "Bacterial small subunit ribosomal RNA", at positions 524 to 776 of the family's 1533-position model. The record is from RNAcentral.
UAUGUAGGGGGCUAGCGUUGUCCGGAAUCAUUGGGCGUAAAGCGCGUGUAGGCGGCUCGGUAAGUCCGCUGUGAAAGUCCAGGGCUCAACCCUGGGAUGCCGGUGGAUACUGUCGGGCUCGAGUCCGGAAGAGGCGAGUGGAAUUCCUGGUGUAGCGGUGAAAUGCGCAGAUAUCAGGAGGAACACCAAUGGCGAAGGCAGCUCGCUGGGACGUGACUGACGCUGAGACGCGAAAGCGUGGGGAGCAAACAGG